ACGUUACCAAACUGUUGCCUCGGCGGGAUCUCUGCCCCGGGUGCGUCGCAGCCCCGGACCAAGGCGCCCGCCGGAGGACCAACCAAAACUCUUAUUGUAUACCCCCUCGCGGGUUUUUUUAUAAUCUGAGCCUUCUCGGCGCCUCUCGUAGGCGUUUCGAAAAUGAAUCAAAACUUUCAACAACGGAUCUCUUGGUUCUGGCAUCGAUGAAGAACGCAGCGAAAUGCGAUAAGUAAUGUGAAUUGCAGAAUUCAGUGAAUCAUCGAAUCUUUGAACGCACAUUGCGCCCGCCAGUAUUCUGGCGGGCAUGCCUGUCCGAGCGUCAUUUCAACCCUCGAACCCCUCCGGGGGGUCGGCGUUGGGGAUCGGCCCUGCCUCUUGGCGGCGGCCGUCUCCGAAAUACAGUGGCGGUCUCGCCGCAGCCUCUCCUGCGCAGUAGUUUGCACACUCGCAUCGGGAGCGCGGCGCGUCCACAGCCGUUAAACACCCAACUUCUGAAAUGUUGACCUCGGAUCAGGUAGGAAUACCCGCUGAACUUAAGCAUAU
Molecule: ribosomal RNA, 546 nt
Filed under: Trichoderma atroviride
Lineage: Eukaryota; Fungi; Ascomycota; Sordariomycetes; Hypocreales; Hypocreaceae
Description: eukaryotic LSU rRNA
Rfam family: 5.8S ribosomal RNA (bases 172-325)
Source: RNAcentral